UAUCUGUCUGUAACUACACCCGUAGAAGCUUAUGUUACGUUAUCUUCGGACAGGGGUUCGACUCCCCUCGCCUCCAUUG
Molecule: transfer-messenger RNA, 79 nt
Filed under: Paenibacillus sp. EKM202P
Lineage: Bacteria; Bacillati; Bacillota; Bacilli; Caryophanales; Paenibacillaceae
Description: partial transfer-messenger RNA
Rfam family: transfer-messenger RNA
About the family: Bacterial tmRNA, also known as 10Sa RNA or SsrA, is named for its dual tRNA and mRNA-like properties.
Source: RNAcentral